GAUGAACGCUAGCGGCAGGCCUAACACAUGCAAGUCGAGGGAGAAGCCCUUCGGGGCAGAAACCGGCGCACGGGUGCGUAACGCGUAUGCAACCUACCUUUCACAGGGGGAUAGCCCGAAGAAAUUUGGAUUAAUACCCCAUAAUAUUAUUGGAUGGCAUCAUUUGAUAAUUAAAAUUACGAUGGUGAAAGAUGGGCAUGCGUCCUAUUAGCUAGUUGGAGUGGUAACGGCACCCCAAGGCUACGAUAGGUAGGGGUCCUGAGAGGGAGAUCCCCCACACUGGUACUGAGACAGGGACCAGACUCCUACGGGAGGCAGCAGUGAGGAAUAUUGGUCAAUGGUCGGAAGACUGAACCAGCCAUGCCGCGUGCAGGAAAGAAUGCCCUUAUGGGGUUGUAAAACUGCUUUUAUAUGGGAAG
This 419-nucleotide ribosomal RNA is filed under the name Capnocytophaga granulosa. RNAcentral describes it as "bacterial SSU rRNA". It matches the Rfam family "Bacterial small subunit ribosomal RNA", at positions 28 to 447 of the family's 1533-position model. Lineage: Bacteria; Pseudomonadati; Bacteroidota; Flavobacteriia; Flavobacteriales; Flavobacteriaceae. The record is from RNAcentral.